Molecule: transfer RNA, 75 nt
Filed under: Lentisphaerae bacterium GWF2_49_21
Lineage: Bacteria; Pseudomonadati; Lentisphaerota
Also listed under: 1 other name
Description: tRNA-Asn
Rfam family: tRNA
About the family: Transfer RNA (tRNA) molecules are approximately 80 nucleotides in length. Their secondary structure includes four short double-helical elements and three loops (D, anti-codon, and T loops).
Source: RNAcentral
UCCGGCAUAGCUCAGUGGUAGAGUAGGUGGCUGUUAACCACUUGGUCGUAGGUUCGAAUCCUACUGCCGGAGCCA